RNAcentral lists this ribosomal RNA (301 nucleotides) under uncultured bacterium. RNAcentral's name for it is "partial 16S ribosomal RNA". It matches the Rfam family "Bacterial small subunit ribosomal RNA", at positions 509 to 807 of the family's 1533-position model. The record is from RNAcentral.
CAGUAGCCACGGGAAUACGAAGGGUGCAAGCGUUAAUCGGAAUUACUGGGCGUAAAGCGUGCGUAGGCGGUGAGUUAAGUCUGCUGUGAAAUCCCCGGGCUCAACCUGGGAAUGGCAAUGGAUACUGGCAAGCUAGAGUGUGUCAGAGGAUGGUGGAAUUCCCGGUGUAGCGGUGAAAUGCGUAGAGAUCGGGAGGAACAUCAGUGGCGAAGGCGGCCAUCUGGGACAACACUGACGCUGAGGCACGAAAGCGUGGGGAGCAAACAGGAUUAGAUACCCCCGUAGUCCCUGUCUCUUAUAC